GGUUAUCUCAAGACUUGGAGAUGUCCGACCUAUGUCAAAAGACAGAUGAUGGAUAAAUUAGAAGAUAGAUCUAUUAUAACUCAUUUUAUAGGGUAUCCAAAAGAAUCUAUGGGAUACUACUUCUACUUUCCACAAGACUACAGUGUGAUUGUGAGAGGUUAGUGGAGCUCGAAGAUAAAUUCUCUAAAGAGCCAAGAACUUAUAGUCCAUGAGCCAGUAG
This 220-nucleotide long non-coding RNA is filed under the name Elaeis guineensis (African oil palm). RNAcentral's name for it is "long non-coding RNA (EGUI_LNC075808)". Lineage: Eukaryota; Viridiplantae; Streptophyta; Magnoliopsida; Arecales; Arecaceae. The record is from RNAcentral.